UACGAAGGGGGGCUAGCGUUGCUCGGAAUCACUGGGCGUAAAGGGUGCGUAGGCGGGUUUUUAAGUCAGAGGUGAAAUCCUGGAGCUCAACUCCAGAACUGCCUUUGAUACUGAAAGUCUUGAGUAUGGGAGAGGUGAGUGGAACUGCGAGUGUAGAGGUGAAAUUCGUAGAUAUUCGCAAGAACACCAGUGGCGAAGGCGGCUCACUGGCCCAUUACUGACGCUGAGGCACGAAAGCGUGGGGAGCAAACAGG
This 254-nucleotide ribosomal RNA is filed under the name uncultured bacterium. Its description in RNAcentral is "partial 16S ribosomal RNA". It matches the Rfam family "Bacterial small subunit ribosomal RNA", at positions 524 to 776 of the family's 1533-position model. The record is from RNAcentral.